CACGUAGGGCGCAAGCGUUGUCCGGAAUUAUUGGGCGUAAAGAGCUCGUAGGCGGUCUGUUGCGUCCGCUGUGAAAACUCGGGGCUUAACCCCGAGCCUGCAGUGGAUACGGGCAGACUAGAGGUAGGUAGGGGAGAAUGGAAUUCCCGGUGUAGUGGUGGAAUGCGUAGAUAUCGGGAGGAACACCAGUGGCGAAGGCGGUUGCCUGGAGCUUUGCUGACGCUGAUGCGCGAAAGCGUGGGGAGCGAUCCGG
RNAcentral lists this ribosomal RNA (253 nucleotides) under uncultured bacterium. RNAcentral describes it as "partial 16S ribosomal RNA". It matches the Rfam family "Bacterial small subunit ribosomal RNA", at positions 524 to 776 of the family's 1533-position model. The record is from RNAcentral.